This 697-nucleotide ribosomal RNA is filed under the name Klebsiella sp. HGB0154. Its description in RNAcentral is "bacterial SSU rRNA". It matches the Rfam family "Bacterial small subunit ribosomal RNA", at positions 59 to 748 of the family's 1533-position model. The record is from RNAcentral. Lineage: Bacteria; Pseudomonadati; Pseudomonadota; Gammaproteobacteria; Enterobacterales; Enterobacteriaceae.
CAGUCGAGCGGUAGCACAAAGAGCUUGCUCUCGGGUGACGAGCGGCGGACGGGUGAGUAAUGUCUGGGAAACUGCCUGAUGGAGGGGGAUAACUACUGGAAACGGUAGCUAAUACCGCAUAACGUCGCAAGACCAAAGUGGGGGACCUUCGGGCCUCAUGCCAUCAGAUGUGCCCAGAUGGGAUUAGCUAGUAGGUGGGGUAACGGCUCACCUAGGCGACGAUCCCUAGCUGGUCUGAGAGGAUGACCAGCCACACUGGAACUGAGACACGGUCCAGACUCCUACGGGAGGCAGCAGUGGGGAAUAUUGCACAAUGGGCGCAAGCCUGAUGCAGCCAUGCCGCGUGUGUGAAGAAGGCCUUCGGGUUGUAAAGCACUUUCAGCGGGGAGGAAGGCGAUAAGGUUAAUAACCUUGUCGAUUGACGUUACCCGCAGAAGAAGCACCGGCUAACUCCGUGCCAGCAGCCGCGGUAAUACGGAGGGUGCAAGCGUUAAUCGGAAUUACUGGGCGUAAAGCGCACGCAGGCGGUCUGUCAAGUCGGAUGUGAAAUCCCCGGGCUCAACCUGGGAACUGCAUUCGAAACUGGCAGGCUAGAGUCUUGUAGAGGGGGGUAGAAUUCCAGGUGUAGCGGUGAAAUGCGUAGAGAUCUGGAGGAAUACCGGUGGCGAAGGCGGCCCCCUGGACAAGACUGACGCUC